UAUACAUGCAAGUCGAGCGAACUGAUUAGAAGCUUGCUUCUAUGACGUUAGCGGCGGACGGGUGAGUAACACGUGGGCAACCUGCCUGUAAGACUGGGAUAACUUCGGGAAACCGAAGCUAAUACCGGAUAGGAUCUUCUCCUUCAUGGGAGAUGAUUGAAAGAUGGUUUCGGCUAUCACUUACAGAUGGGCCCGCGGUGCAUUAGCUAGUUGGUGAGGUAACGGCUCACCAAGGCCACGAUGCAUAGCCGACCUGAGAGGGUGAUCGGCCACACUGGGACUGAGACACGGCCCAGACUCCUACGGGAGGCAGCAGUAGGGAAUCUUCCGCAAUGGACGAAAGUCUGACGGAGCAACGCCGCGUGAGUGAUGAAGGCUUUCGGGUCGUAAAACUCUGUUGUUAGGGAAGAACAAGUACAAGAGUAACUGCUUGUACCUUGACGGUACCUAACCAGAAAGCCACGGCUAACUACGUGCCAGCAGCCGCGGUAAUACGUAGGUGGCAAGCGUUAUCCGGAAUUAUUGGGCGUAAAGCGCGCGCAGGCGGUUUCUUAAGUCUGAUGUGAAAGCCCACGGCUCAACCGUGGAGGGUCAUUGGAAACUGGGGAACUUGAGUGCAGAAGAGAAAAGCGGAAUUCCACGUGUAGCGGUGAAAUGCGUAGAGAUGUGGAGGAACACCAGUGGCGAAGGCGGCUUUUUGGUCUGUAACUGACGCUGAGGCGCGAAAGCGUGGGGAGCAAACAGGAUUAGAUACCCCUGGUAGUCCACGCCGUAAACGAUGAGUGCUAAGUGUUAGAGGGUUUCCGCCCUUUAGUGCUGCAGCUAACGCAUUAAGCACUCCGCC
This 844-nucleotide ribosomal RNA is filed under the name Bacillus sp. LKS-1. Its description in RNAcentral is "bacterial SSU rRNA". It matches the Rfam family "Bacterial small subunit ribosomal RNA", at positions 50 to 873 of the family's 1533-position model. The record is from RNAcentral. Lineage: Bacteria; Bacillati; Bacillota; Bacilli; Caryophanales; Bacillaceae.